Molecule: ribosomal RNA, 334 nt
Filed under: uncultured soil bacterium
Lineage: Bacteria
Description: bacterial SSU rRNA
Rfam family: Bacterial small subunit ribosomal RNA
Source: RNAcentral
AGAUUGAACGCUGGCGGGAUGCUUUACACAUGCAAGUCGAACGGCAGCGCGGACUUCGGUCUGGCGGCGAGUGGCGAACGGGUGAGUAAUAUAUCGGAACGUGCCCAGUAGCGGGGGAUAACUACGCGAAAGCGUGGCUAAUACCGCAUACGCCCUACGGGGGAAAGGGGGGAUCGCAAGACCUCUCACUAUUGGAGCGGCCGAUAUCAGAUUAGCUAGUUGGUGAGGUAAAGGCUCACCAAGGCGACGAUCUGUAGCUGGUUUGAGAGGACGACCAGCCACACUGGGACUGAGACACGGCCCAGACUCCUACGGGAGCAGCAGUGGGGAAUUU